Molecule: unclassified non-coding RNA, 479 nt
Filed under: uncultured Glomus
Lineage: Eukaryota; Fungi; Glomeromycota; Glomeromycetes; Glomerales; Glomeraceae
Description: SSU rRNA
Rfam family: Eukaryotic small subunit ribosomal RNA
Source: RNAcentral
AGCAGCCGCGGUAAUUCCAGCUCCAAUAGCGUAUAUUAAAGUUGUUGCAGUUAAAAGCUCGUAGUUGAAUUUCGGGGUUAGUAGGUUGGUCAUGCCUCUGGUAUGUACUGGUCUCACUGAUUCCUCCUUCCUGAUGAGCCGUAAUGCCAUUAAUUUGGUGUUGCGGGGAAUUUGGACUGUUACUUUGAAAAAUUGGAGUGCUUAAAGCAAGCUAACGCUUGAAUACAUUAGCAUGGAAUAAUGAAAUAGGACGUUCGAUCCUAUUUUGUUGGUUUCUAGGAUUGACGUAAUGAUUAAUAGGGAUAGUUGGGGGCAUUAGUAUUCAAUUGUCAGAGGUGAAAUUCUUGGAUUUAUUGAAGACUAACUACUGCGAAAGCAUUUGCCAAGGAUGUUUUCAUUAAUCAAGAACGAAAGUUAGGGGAUCGAAGACGAUCAGAUACCGUCGUAGUCUUAACCAUAAACUAUGCCGACUAGGGAUC